CCUACGGGUGGCUGCAGUGGGGAAUAUUGGACAAUGGGCGAAAGCCUGAUCCAGCCAUGCCGCGUGUGUGAAGAAGGCCUUCGGGUUGUAAAGCACUUUCAGUGGGGAAGAAAGCCUUGGGGCUAAUACCCUCGAGGAAGGACAUCACCCACAGAAGAAGCACCGGCUAACUCCGUGCCAGCAGCCGCGGUAAUACGGAGGGUGCGAGCGUUAAUCGGAAUUACUGGGCGUAAAGCGCGCGUAGGCGGUCUGAUAAGCCGGUUGUAAAGCCCCGGGCUCAACCUGGGAACGGCAUCCGGAACUGUCAGGCUAGAGUGCAGGGGAGGAAGGUAGAAUUCCCGGUGGAGCGGUGAAAUGCGUAGAGUUCGGGAGGAAUACCAGUGGCGAAGGCGGCCUUCUGGACUGACACUGACGCUGAGGUGCGAAAGCGUGGGUAGCAAACAGGAUUAGAUACCCGAGUAGUC
Molecule: ribosomal RNA, 464 nt
Filed under: Vreelandella stevensii
Lineage: Bacteria; Pseudomonadati; Pseudomonadota; Gammaproteobacteria; Oceanospirillales; Halomonadaceae
Description: partial 16S ribosomal RNA
Rfam family: Bacterial small subunit ribosomal RNA
Source: RNAcentral